GAGGGCGGUGGUGAUCAGGAUGACACGUUGGUGACGGCGCCGAAUAAUCCAAAGAGGCAGGUUCAAGUCCUGCCCGCCUCA
This 81-nucleotide transfer RNA is filed under the name Candidatus Endomicrobium procryptotermitis. Its description in RNAcentral is "tRNA-OTHER". The record is from RNAcentral. Lineage: Bacteria; Pseudomonadati; Elusimicrobiota; Endomicrobiia; Endomicrobiales; Endomicrobiaceae.